RNAcentral lists this transfer RNA (72 nucleotides) under Stenotrophomonas phage vB_SmaS-DLP_6. It matches the Rfam family "tRNA". From Rfam's summary of the family: Transfer RNA (tRNA) molecules are approximately 80 nucleotides in length. Their secondary structure includes four short double-helical elements and three loops (D, anti-codon, and T loops). Lineage: Duplodnaviria; Heunggongvirae; Uroviricota; Caudoviricetes. The record is from Rfam by way of RNAcentral.
GUCCUGUUAGCAGAGUGGCUCAUGCGGUUGGCUGCAACCCUUCCGACGUCGGUUCGAUCCCGACACAGGACU